This 279-nucleotide ribosomal RNA is filed under the name uncultured bacterium. Its description in RNAcentral is "partial 16S ribosomal RNA". It matches the Rfam family "Bacterial small subunit ribosomal RNA", at positions 506 to 784 of the family's 1533-position model. The record is from RNAcentral.
UGCCAGCCGCCGCGGUAAUACGAGGGGUCCAAGCGUUGUUCGGAAUUACUGGGCGUAAAGCGGGUGUAGGCGGCCAUAACAGUCGGAUGUGAAAGCCCUGGGCUCAACCCAGGAAGUGCAUCCGAUACUAUAUGGCUUGAGUACUAGAGAGGGAAGUGGAAUUCCUGGUGUAGCGGUGAAAUGCGUAGAUAUCAGGAGGAACAUCGGUGGCGAAGGCGGCUUCCUGGCUAUGUACUGACGCUCAGACCCGAAAGCGUGGGGAGCAAACAGGAUUAGAUA